Long non-coding RNA from Danio aesculapii, 226 nucleotides. RefSeq lists it as uncharacterized. The transcript is spliced from 3 exons. NCBI's taxonomy places the organism in Eukaryota, Metazoa, Chordata, Actinopteri, Cypriniformes, Danionidae. The record is from RefSeq and is a predicted model, not a curated record.
CAUUGUAGGUUGCUCUGGACAGAGCGAACUUUAAUCCUCCUUGAUAAUCUUGUUGAGAAAGGUACCCCUGAAGAUGACCACUUCCAGUUAUCUUUUCUCCAUUGCUAAACUGGAUUGCUCAGGAUGGGUAUUUUAUACCCACACACCAAAGAAACUUUUUGAAGUUUGGGGAGAUGCAUCACUGCGGAUCCUCUCGUAUUGCAGCCUUGGAUCUACCAGUUCAAGC